UACGGUGAAUACGUUCCCGGACCUUGUACACACCGCCCGUCAAGCCAUGGAAGCUGGGUGUACCUAAAGUCGAGUAACCGUAAGGAGUCGCCUAGGGUAAAACUAGUAACUGGGGCU
This 117-nucleotide ribosomal RNA is filed under the name uncultured bacterium. Its description in RNAcentral is "partial 16S ribosomal RNA". It matches the Rfam family "Bacterial small subunit ribosomal RNA", at positions 1358 to 1482 of the family's 1533-position model. The record is from RNAcentral.